CAGCAGCCGCGGGAAUACGUAGGGUGCGAGCGUUAAUCGGAAUUACUGGGCGUAAAGCGUGCGCAGGCGGUUGUGUAAGACAGGUGUGAAAUCCCCGGGCUUAACCUGGGAACUGCGCUUGUGACUGCACAGCUAGAGUAUGGCAGAGGGGGGUGGAAUUCCACGUGUAGCAGUGAAAUGCGUAGAGAUGUGGAGGAACACCGAUGGCGAAGGCAGCCCCCUGGGCCAAUACUGACGCUCAUGCACGAAAGCGUGGGGAGCGAACAGGAUUAGAUACCCGAGUAGUCCCUGUCUCUUAUAC
This 301-nucleotide ribosomal RNA is filed under the name uncultured bacterium. RNAcentral describes it as "partial 16S ribosomal RNA". It matches the Rfam family "Bacterial small subunit ribosomal RNA", at positions 509 to 807 of the family's 1533-position model. The record is from RNAcentral.